ACGAACAGGGGGCGUGUAGGUAGGUUAUUGGCUGUGUGUAACUAGUGAAAAGUUUUGCAAUUGUAUGUCUUUCCUGUUAAAACUUCAAUAAUUGAAGCAAUUGCGGUGGAUAAUUAGUCAACAGAAAGUCUCGUGUUUCGUUCAUUGACACCAAAGGUAAAAAAUGAGCGACUUUUUAUGGAGCUUGAAAAACGGCGAUCUCGAUCAAGUCAGAGAACAAGUUGAGAAAAAUGUAAGGAGCAUCUUUUCUUUUAUUAACUCAUUUUACUUGCAUUUAUCUUCCGUAAAUUAACUGGAAGGAUGUGAUUCAUAUUGCUAAUAAUACUUUAAGAUUUGUUCAAGAUCAAUUAUAUCCUUUUAUGUAUCAGAUGAUUUAUUUCAGCUACUGAAAUCCACCAUAAAAACGUAAAAGAAGAAUUUUGUAAUUUUUUUCAAUAAUUUAAAACCGUUAUGAUAUAUUUUUAGAAGCUUUUCUGUAUAUAUACAGAAAUGCUUGGGGAUCACCUGGCUGAGAACCACUUAUGAAACACAUUUUGGCAAAAAUUCAAUGCUUUAUGUCAGUAUCAACUGAGUUAUUUAACAUAAACUAAAAAGAAACAGAAGUAUUUUAUAUUUUAAUAUUAAGCAUAAUAUGAUACAGAUGAUAAUUACUAAUUAUUCCUAGAUGAUUAAGUGUAAUAAUUUGUACUUCAAUGUUUAUUGUACUAGUAUAAUUGGUGAUCUUUAAUUAUUCUUAGUUUGCUUUAAUCAUAAUUGAGUAAUUGGAGUGAUAUCCUUCCCUCUAUGUUGUGAGUCAGAAAGGAACUGAAAUAUGCGUUCAAAUAAAUUAAUUUUUCAAGUCCAUUCAGAACAAUUAAAUUUGAGUGUAUCAAAAAUACUUUAUAUGUAUUGUGACCACCACUUAAUAUCUGACUUAUUACACCCAGACAAGGAGAUGCAUAGAUCAAAAGGAAAUUAAACUUUUCCCCCAUACGUUUAUCCUUUAUUAUGAUAUGCGUAAGCCAUUACAUAGGAUAAAUUACAAAAUGGUUGGACAUAUAUUUUUAUAUUUGUUAUUUUCAAAUUAAGUUGGUUUAUCUAUAAAUAUUUAUGCAAUCUCAUGGAAAUUUAACAAAUGUAAAAUGAGUCAGCUUAUAAUUGAUCAUUUAGUGAGAUUUUCAUCAAAAUUAUUUUUCUUUUUACUAAACCUUCU
Molecule: long non-coding RNA, 1192 nt
Organism: Centruroides sculpturatus (bark scorpion)
Lineage: Eukaryota; Metazoa; Arthropoda; Arachnida; Scorpiones; Buthidae
Exons: 3
Source: RefSeq, a predicted model, not a curated record